Molecule: ribosomal RNA, 422 nt
Filed under: uncultured bacterium
Lineage: Bacteria
Description: bacterial SSU rRNA
Rfam family: Bacterial small subunit ribosomal RNA
Source: RNAcentral
AUAUUGGUCAAUGGGCGAGAGCCUGAACCAGCCAAGUAGCGUGAAGGAUGACUGCCCUAUGGGUUGUAAACUUCUGUUAUAAAGGAAGAACGGCACAUAUAGGGAAUGAUAUGUGAGUGACGGUACUUUAUGAGGAAGCCACGGCUAACUACGUGCCAGCAGCCGCGGUAAUACGGAGGAUCCGAGCGUUAUCCGGAUUUAUUGGGUUUAAAGGGAGCGUAGAUGGAUGUUUAAGUCAGUUGUGAAAGUUUGCGGCUCAACCGUAAAAUUGCAGUUGAUACUGGAUAUCUUGAGUGCAGUUGAGGCAGGCGGAAUUCGUGGUGUAGCGGUGAAAUGCUUAGAUAUCACGAAGAACUCCGAUUGCGAAGGCAGCCUGCUAAGCUGCAACUGACAUUGAGGCUCGAAAGUGUGGGUAUCAAACA